UAAAUGAUGAGGAUUCGGGCCGGCGCUACGCGACUUGCGUGUGUUGUCAUUGGCCGCGACCUUUGGGGAGGAGCGCAAGGAGGCGGAGAAACGAGAUCGGGAGACAGAUUAAAUCCAGCGUUUGAACAGUUUCUUCGGUUUGUCAGUACUCUGAGAAAACCUAAUUAUCGAAGAAGCCUGGAUGCUAAAACAAGCUAUGAAGCCGCCUUUUUGUCGAACAGGACUGAGGCUGGACGCUGAACUCACCUGCGGCGCGAAGGUGUCACCACUUUGUCCACGACAUCAUCCCCAAUCGCUGAGACGUUGUCCACGAUUGCAGAGACAUGGUCCAUGAUCGGAGAGACAUUGUUGAGGAUGAGGGAGACAUCGUCCUCGAUCAGAGACAUUGUCCACGAUCGCAGAGACCUUGUCAAAGAUGAGAGAGACGCUGUCCAUGAUCAGAGACAUUGUCCCAUGCUUCGUAGAGACCUUGCGAUAGAAUCGGCGGAGACGGGGGUCACCGAUUUGACGGCAUUGCCCGCGAUCAUGGAAACAUUGUCGAUGAUCACAGAGACGCCGUCUAUGAUCUCAGAGACAUCGUCCACGAUCGCAAAGACAUUGGUCAUGAUCACAGAGACUUUGUCUAUAAUCUCAGAGACAUUGUCCGCGAUCACAGAGACGUAGUCCGCAAUCACAGAGAGUCUUCGUACAAUGAAGAAGUUCUUUGAGACCAGGACAGAAUCCUCCAGGAGGAGAAGACGACAGCAGCUGAGACCUGAAGCGGAUGAAAGAAAAAAGUGUUACGAAGCUAUUAGAUAAAUUAGAUAAAAGACCUCCACAUUCUACCUGCUGUAAACAGUGCUGGUUUUCUGUUGUUCAAGUGAAAACACUUUGUUUUUCCAUCUGUAAUGUAGUCAAGGGCACAUUUUACUAAGACUAAUAUGUCUUUAUUAAACACCCGUGAGAACAUUCAACUGCUUAUGAUACAGCUAUUUAAUAACUGUACGACCAAGACAUGUUAAUCUUUGGAAAAUUUGCUCAUAACUACAUUAACCCCAAUCCUAACCAGCUCUAACAAGUGUUUCCUUGUUGGUCAUUAUCUUUGCUGUGAUUUGUUAAAUGUAGUCUGGAAAUAAAAUCAGCAAAAGUUUCUUCCCAAACUUUUGAGUUGUAUUGCAAAUCAUUUUAUUGCAUUUUAUUAUAAGAAAAUGAUGCUCAUGUUUACAUUUAGACACAUUUUGAAAAUAUUUUUUAGGGUUU
Lates calcarifer (barramundi perch) is the source of this 1239-nucleotide long non-coding RNA. RefSeq lists it as uncharacterized. The transcript has 3 exons. Lineage: Eukaryota; Metazoa; Chordata; Actinopteri; Centropomidae. The record is from RefSeq and is a predicted model, not a curated record.